This 325-nucleotide long non-coding RNA is filed under the name Olea europaea (common olive). RNAcentral describes it as "long non-coding RNA (OEUR_LNC004888)". The record is from RNAcentral. Lineage: Eukaryota; Viridiplantae; Streptophyta; Magnoliopsida; Lamiales; Oleaceae.
GGGCUGUGAUGACAAAUGGGCUAAAGCCCAAUAACUGUUUUAACAAUUUAGGCUCUUGCCCAAUAACAUGACCCGAUCCGCCCCGGCCCAAUGGUAGAUAAAACGUGUUUUUGGGCGUGGCAUAUUUUAAUGCAGCCAAACACGCCUUAUUCAGUUAUAUGGAUGCCUCCUGACCGUCGGAUUGAAACUUGAUCUAAGGGUGCCUUUGUUGGAUAUAAAUACUUGGCCCCUUUUGCCCUAAUUCACUUGGACCGUCAUUUUUCUCUUCUCUCCAGCUGCGGCUGAGGUUCGAGAGUCUUCCAAACCCUCUCUUCUUCUUCGUGAG